GGUGAGAUGGCCGAGCGGUCUAAGGCGCCAGACUAAGGAUCAGAGCAUUUGUUGCUCGUCAUUAACUGUUUCAACGGUUAUCUGGUCCUCCGGGGCGUGGGUUCGAAUCCCACUCUCAUCA
Molecule: transfer RNA, 121 nt
Filed under: Hypholoma sublateritium FD-334 SS-4
Lineage: Eukaryota; Fungi; Basidiomycota; Agaricomycetes; Agaricales; Strophariaceae
Rfam family: tRNA
About the family: Transfer RNA (tRNA) molecules are approximately 80 nucleotides in length. Their secondary structure includes four short double-helical elements and three loops (D, anti-codon, and T loops).
Source: Rfam by way of RNAcentral